GAUCCUGGCUCAGAUUGAACGCUGGCGGCAUGCCUUACACAUGCAAGUCGAACGGUAACGGGUCCUUCGGGAUGCCGACGAGUGGCGAACGGGUGAGUAAUAUAUCGGAACGUGCCCAGUAGUGGGGGAGUAACUGCUCGAAAGAGCAGCUAAUACCGCAUACGACCUGAGGGUGAAAGGGGGGGAUCGCAAGACCUCUCGCUAUUGGAGCGGCCGAUAUCAGAUUAGCUAGUUGGUGAGG
This 241-nucleotide ribosomal RNA is filed under the name uncultured bacterium. RNAcentral's name for it is "partial 16S ribosomal RNA". It matches the Rfam family "Bacterial small subunit ribosomal RNA", at positions 15 to 257 of the family's 1533-position model. The record is from RNAcentral.